RNAcentral lists this transfer RNA (72 nucleotides) under Dermacentor silvarum. RNAcentral describes it as "transfer RNA proline (anticodon UGG)". It matches the Rfam family "tRNA". From Rfam's summary of the family: Transfer RNA (tRNA) molecules are approximately 80 nucleotides in length. Their secondary structure includes four short double-helical elements and three loops (D, anti-codon, and T loops). Further hydrogen bonds mediate the characteristic L-shaped molecular structure. tRNAs have two regions of fundamental functional importance: the anti-codon, which is responsible for specific mRNA codon recognition, and the 3' end, to which the tRNAs corresponding amino acid is attached (by aminoacyl-tRNA synthetases). tRNAs cope with the degeneracy of the genetic code in two manners: having more than one tRNA (with a specific anti-codon) for a particular amino acid; and 'wobble' base-pairing, i.e. permitting non-standard base-pairing at the 3rd anti-codon position. The record is from RNAcentral. Lineage: Eukaryota; Metazoa; Arthropoda; Arachnida; Ixodida; Ixodidae.
GGCUCGUUGGUCUAGCGGUAUGAUUCUCACUCUGGGUGCGAGAGGUCCCGGGUUCAAAUCCCGGACGAGCCC